UGUUAUUGAGUACACAUUUCAAUUCGACUAAUCAUGUUUCCAAACACAAGCUGUAACAUUUCUUUUGUAACAGAGGCUGUAAACGUGGAUAUUGCAGUUUUCAAUUCAUCGAUGGAUUUUGGACGGUUUUUAUAGACAGUUGCUUUCGCUGCACCCCAGAAGAAAAAGUCAGGUGGUGUUAGGUCGGACGAUCGUGGAGGCUAAACUCCCUGUGAAAUUAUGCGAUCACCAAAGACUUCAGCCAGCAGUGACAUUUAAACGCGAGCUGUUUACGCGGUUGCAACAAUCUUGUUGAAAAUAGCCGUUCAGUAUUUCACUUAAAGCAAGUUCUCCUAUGAAUGGGUACAGAAUAUCACUGCAGUAUCGUUGAGCGUUUAUUGUUUCGUUGAAAAGUAUGGGACCCACAAUCCCACGUCUAGAAAUUGCAGUACAAUCUGCUAUUUUCCCAGAAUGAAGUGGUUCCUCAUUAAUACACAUUGGAUUUGCAGUACUACACAUUCGAGAAUUUUGAGAGUUCAUGUACCAGAGUAAAUGAAACCACGCCUCAUCAGUUAAAAAAUGUUUCAUUAAGAAUAUUCCUCCCAUUUCGUUAAACGAAAUUUUUGAACCGUUGACAAUAAUGCAGUCUCUUCCAAUGAUGAGUAUUUUACAGUUCUUGGACUUUAUAUGGGAAAAGUUCUAAUUUUUCCUUGCAGCUGUGUGGGCGAGUUUUCUUACUGACUUGUUCGGAGUCAUGGAUAUUUUAUCGGAAAUAUCGAGCAGUUUAUCCUCAGAAAAACCCUAGGACGACCACAUCUCGGUGCAUAUGUCACUGAACCCAUACUUCGAAAUUUGUUAAUCAAAUCUCGCACAGUAUCGCGAUGUGGCAGUGAUGUCUCCGGGUAAACUGAAUUGAAUGUUUGAAGAACUGAAACUGAGUAUUUACCGCUAGCUUUGAACACUUGUUCGACUAAAAACACACGUUAUUCAUUUUACCAGUGACACAAACGAAACAAACGAAUGGAGGAGCUAAACUUAAACGUUCACGACUACACGUGACGACACACACCAUCGGUACUACUGACGCUCGCUAGGAUAAACGAAACAGUGGAAUGUUGGCAGAGUCCACUUGAAGGUAAGUAACCCAGGGAGGCCAACAAUCAUACGGCACGCACGGCUAACAAUCAUACGGCACUGCGGAGAGACUUUUUGAACACCCCAUAGUAUGUAAAGAUAUAGACAAUAAUUGUUGUACUUAAUGUAUUACCACCCCUAAAAAGUUGUAUCGUUUUUCAAAAAAACAUAAACCUCAAGAGUAACUCAGACACACACCUGCCCAGACAAAAAUGUUCUAAUAUCAUUUCUACAUUUAACAUAUCUGUAUCAUUUACCAAAACGGCGUAACGUUUUUGAUAAUGCUGGUGGAACGUAUGGUAUUUUCGCAU
Long non-coding RNA from Schistocerca cancellata (South American locust), 1424 nucleotides. RefSeq lists it as uncharacterized. The transcript is spliced from 2 exons. NCBI's taxonomy places the organism in Eukaryota, Metazoa, Arthropoda, Insecta, Orthoptera, Acrididae. The record is from RefSeq and is a predicted model, not a curated record.